This 254-nucleotide ribosomal RNA is filed under the name uncultured bacterium. RNAcentral's name for it is "partial 16S ribosomal RNA". It matches the Rfam family "Bacterial small subunit ribosomal RNA", at positions 524 to 776 of the family's 1533-position model. The record is from RNAcentral.
UACGAGAGGCCCAAACGUUAUUCGGAUUUACUGGGCGUAAAGGGCGCGUAGGCGGCCACCGCAAGUCGACUGUGAAAUCUCCGGGCUUAACCCGGAACGGUCAGCCGAUACUGCGGGGCUAGAGUGCAGAAGGGGCAACUGGAAUUCUCGGUGUAGCGGUGAAAUGCGUAGACAUCGAGAGGAACACCUGCGGCGAAGGCGGGUUGCUGGGCUGACACUGACGCUGAGGCGCGAAAGCUAGGGGAGCGAACGGG